AAAUUGAAGAGUUUGAUCAUGGCUCAGAUUGAACGCUGGCGGCAGGCCUAACACAUGCAAGUCGAACGGUAACAGGAAGCAGCUUGCUGCUUCGCUGACGAGUGGCGGACGGGUGAGUAAUGUCUGGGAAACUGCCUGAUGGAGGGGGAUAACUACUGGAAACGGUAGCUAAUACCGCAUAACGUCGCAAGACCAAAGAGGGGGACCUUCGGGCCUCUUGCCAUCGGAUGUGCCCAGAUGGGAUUAGCUAGUAGGUGGGGUAACGGCUCACCUAGGCGACGAUCCCUAGCUGGUCUGAGAGGAUGACCAGCCACACUGGAACUGAGACACGGUCCAGACUCCUACGGGAGGCAGCAGUGGGGAAUAUUGCACAAUGGGCGCAAGCCUGAUGCAGCCAUGCCGCGUGUAUGAAGAAGGCCUUCGGGUUGUAAAGUACUUUCAGCGGGGAGGAAGGGAGUAAAGUUAAUACCUUUGCUCAUUGACGUUACCCGCAGAAGAAGCACCGGCUAACUCCGUGCCAGCAGCCGCGGUAAUACGGAGGGUGCAAGCGUUAAUCGGAAUUACUGGGCGUAAAGCGCACGCAGGCGGUUUGUUAAGUCAGAUGUGAAAUCCCCGGGCUCAACCUGGGAACUGCAUCUGAUACUGGCAAGCUUGAGUCUCGUAGAGGGGGUAGAAUUCCGGUGUAGCGGUGAAAUGCGUAGAGAUCUGGAGGAAUACCGGUGGCGAAGGCGGCCCCACGGACGAAGACUGACGCUCAGGUGCGAAAGCGUGGGGAGCAAACAGGAUUAGAUACCCUGGUAGUCCACGCCGUAAACGAUGUCGACUUGGAGGUUGUGCCCUUGAGGCGUGGCUUCCGGAGCUAACGCGUUAAGUCGACCGCACUGGGAGUACGGCCGCAAGGUUAAAACUCAAAUGAAUUGACGGGGGCCCGCACAAGCGGUGGAGCAUGUGGUUUAAUUCGAUGCAACGCGAAGAACCUUACCCGGGUCUUGACAUCCACAGAACUUUCCAGAGAUGGAUUGGUGCCUUCGGGAACUGUGAGACAGGUGCUGCAUGGCUGUCGUCAGCUCGUGUUGUGAAAUGUUGGGUUAAGUCCCGCAACGAGCGCAACCCUUAUCCUUUGUUGCCAGCGGUCCGGCCGGGAACUCAAAGGAGACUGCCAGUGAUAAACUGGAGGAAGGUGGGGAUGACGUCAAGUCAUCAUGGCCCUUACGACCCGAGGGCUACACACGUGCUACAAUGGCGCAUACAAAGAGAAGCGACCUCGCGAGAGCAAGCGGACCUCAUAAAGUGCGUCGUAGUCCGGAUUGGAGUCUGCAACUCGACUCCAUGAAGUCGGAAUCGCUAGUAAUCGUGGAUCAGAAUGCCACGGUGAAUACGUUCCCGGGCCUUGUACACACCGCCCGUCACACCAUGGGAGUGGGUUGCAAAAGAAGUAGGUAGCUUAACCUUCGGGAGGGCGCUUACCACUUUGUGAUUCAUGACUGGGGUGAAGUCGUAACAAGGUAACCGUAGGGGAACCUGCGGUUGGAUCACCUCCUUACCUUAAAGAAGC
RNAcentral lists this ribosomal RNA (1555 nucleotides) under Escherichia coli. Its description in RNAcentral is "bacterial SSU rRNA". It matches the Rfam family "Bacterial small subunit ribosomal RNA". Lineage: Bacteria; Pseudomonadati; Pseudomonadota; Gammaproteobacteria; Enterobacterales; Enterobacteriaceae. The record is from RNAcentral.